AUGUUGUUGCUAUGUCUCUAGAUAUAGCGUGUUGUUGAAUGCGAUUAAGAAGUUGUCUAUAUACUUUUGGUUAGAGAGUUCUUCCUCUAACUUAGGUGUUAAUCCUCCACAAGUAGUUUCUCAAGUUUGAUCUAAUCUAUAACUCCCAGCUUUAUGAAGUUUGAAGAGAGUACAAAUGUAAGAAUAAGAAAAAGAAGUGAGUGAGAAGGAGAUUAAGUGAAUAUAAGAGUUUGUGAGAGUGAAAAGGGGUGAAAGAUGGAGAGGGAAGGGUUUAAAAACCCUUUCAAAUGGAUCUAAUCAUUGGAAAGGUCAUGUAUGAGUUGUUCGUUGGUAACGGUUAAAAUAUUUUGAUACCGGCCAGUAACAGUCGGAUUUCAAUCGUUACCGAGUGAUACAGGCCCAUAUCGAGCGAUACAGAGUCUUCUAGUAUAUAUCACCUGAUACAGGAUGAUCUGUGCAUCGAUCCCCUGUUGGAUCGAUACGUAUCGCUUAUACCGGACGGUAUACCUCUAUAUGGCGAACCUUGGUAUAAAGUGACACUUUACACUAAUCUCUCUCUCUCUCUCUCUCUCUCUCUCUAACACACACAUACAAAUGUCUAUUUACCUCCAGUUUCUGUGGUUCCCUUGGUUAUGAAGCUUGAUACUAUCUUUCUAAUGGACAUCGGGUUGGACACUCUUCACUUAAUAGUCUCUGCACAUGUAUUGACUCUUGACCACCCAGCAAGCAAUUCAAAGUCAGUAUUGACUCUUGAGCAUAUGUACACCUGAGACUAAUUCUCCCAAACCUUAUAUUAUGUGAAAGCAGGUGAUUGGGGGAUGUGUGCCCUAUUUUGUCAUGGACUGCAAAAACUCACCUCUAAGUUGGUUGACUGGCACCCUCUACGAUGUGGCUUAACCUGUCAAUUCUGAUCCCAACUUAUGUCUUCCAAUAAUAGUGCCAACCCCUAUCUUCAAACUUCAUUAUAGUCUCAAAACCAAUUCCAUUGCAUUCAGUAGUCAUCGGAGGAUGUUGAAUAGGCAUAGAAAUGAUUUUUCACCAACAGCAAUUGCAUAGCUUAUCUUAGUCUGGAAGUGGUUUAAUUUGCUAUUAUGCUUCUGACUUGUUUGUUGAUGAGGAUAGUAAUUAUGAUAAGACUCGGCUGACGUCAGCCGACGCCUCACGCCUCGAUCGACGCGACAGCACCUGGUCAAACGGACCGGAACACCGGCCGAGGCGCAUUAACGCCUACUCAGGCUCGGUUCUUCACGCCACGCAACGCCAGUGUCAGACGCCACCAUCUGCCCCUGCAAGCGGGCACAUCAAACAACAGUAAGCUUCCCUAUAAAAGCCCUGGCUUCCGAACAGGAAAGGGGCCCGGGGCGGAGGAGAAAAAACUCUUCUUCUUCCGAAAUCCCCUCCACUGUCUUCUAACUCGAUCGUCGGAGGGGUCGGGUCGAGUCUCCCGACCCGACCUUUGUGCAGGAGAGAAGCCGAAGGUCUCCGCUAGACGCGCGGGCGAGGAGUUCCUACCCGGAGGAAAAGGCGACCCCGUCCCGAUCGGACACCGCGUGCGACCACCUCGGCGGACUCGAAACCCGUCAUGGGAAGAUUCCCCGUCACCCGGACUCGAACCGAGCCGCGUCGGCCCCGAGGCCACGGCUCCAGGUUGUUUACCACAACAGAUUGGCGCUAGAAGGAGGGUCCGGAAUGUCGGGUGAUCACCCGAGCGGCUCAGACGAGCCCACGGCUGACAGGUCGCACCCGACCGAAGCCUCAGGGAAACAUCCCCCGCACGGAGACCAUCGUGACGAACACGCUGCCACGACCUCAGAACGACAUUGGCAAAUAUUCGACGACCCGGGAUUGUUACCGCCCGACGGCGCCCCCGCCGACUCGACGCCCGUGUCACCCGAGGCCUUUCAGGACCUCGCUCGUCAAGUCCGAGCUCUGAUGGAUGUGGUGCAAACCAUCAUCCCGCUCGUUCCUCAUUCGGCGCACCCACCUGCAGUCCAACCACUGCGACAAUACGAGCCGCCCGUUCGGGCCCACACAAAACUUCCGGAGCCCCCCACCUCGCCUCGGGUCCGACCGGCCCCACUCGGGGAUCCAGUGAUGGCAAACCCGAGCGGCCGCCCGGAACCCGAGGCACUCUCUUCGGACUCCCUGCGGGCCCAGUUGCGCUUCGUCAGCCAGCGACUCGACGAAGUACAGAAUGAGGUUCGUAGGUCCAAGGGAGAGCUCGGGGAGGACCCGCGCCAAGGGUCUCCCUUCACGCCCGAGAUACGGGAUCAAACAGUCCCCCCGGACUUCCGACUCCCCUCUCUGAACACUUACGAUGGCUCCACUGACUCGGCGGACCAUGUAGCUGCUUUUCGCGCCCAGAUGGCGCUAUGCGGGACCUCUAAUGCCUUGAUGUGCAGAACGUUCCCUACCACGCUGAGAGGGCCUGCCCACUCGUGGUAUGGCGGCUUGAAGACCGGAACGAUCGCUUCCUUCGACCAGCUCGUCAAGGACUUCGAGCCCCACUUCGUGGCCUAUGCACGGCCGAAGCCUUCCGCGACACUGCUCCUUGGACUCAAACAAAGGGAGGACGAGCCCCUCUCCCAUUUCGUGGAUCGUUUUGCCACGCAAAUCCGGGGCCUGCCAGACACUCACCCCUCUCUGUUAGUGCAGGCGUUUAUGAUAGGCCUGCGACCUUCCAGAUUCCUCUGGUCCCUCGCAGAGCAACCUCCCACCACGGUGCCAGAGAUGCUCCAGCGCGCUAACCGGUACAUCGCCGCGGAGGCCUGGGCGGCCGUGGGGAGAAGCGACGGCACCCGAUUGCGGGCUCCAUAAGAGAGGUCAAGCACCCGCGGUGGCUACCCGAUGUAGUCCUCGUGAAAAGAAAUCUAAGCCCUGCCUCGGCCUCUUUCGAGCCAAGGUUCAGUAUCUACCUGACCCCCUCUCGGCUCGUGGUUAGCCUCAGCUUAAAAUUUUCUGAAUCUACACGGCUCGGCCAUAGAUUGCCGAGCCCACCUCAGGGCGGCUUGCCCACCUGAGGUGCAUCUCUCGGCCAUAGACUACCGAGUCCACCUCAGCGCGGCCUGCUCGCUUACGCUGAGCUCCUCGGCCACAUCGCCCCAGGCCAUGCCUGUGUGACCUGUUGCCCGAGCCCCACUCCUCGGCCACAGCCCGCCUGCGCCGAGCUCCUCGACCGCAGCCUACCUGCGCCGAGCUCCUCGACCGCAGCCUGCUUGCUCCGAGCUCCUCGGCCGCGUUGCCCCAGGCCAUGCCUGCGCGACCGGCCGCCCGAGCCACACUCCUCGGCCAUGUUGUCCGAGUCCACCUCAGCGCGGCCAGCCCGGUUGAGCCGUGUCCCUCGGCCACAGACCGAUCGAGUCCACCUCAGCGCGGCCAGCCCGGCUGAGCCAUGUCCCUUGGCCUGAGCCAUACUCCUCGGCUGCAUGUUGCCCGAGACCACGCCUGCGCGGCCUGCCCGCCUGCGUCGUGCUACUCGGCCGCAUGAUGCCCGAGACCACACCUGCGCGGCCUACCCGCCUGCGUCGUGCUACUCGGCUCUAUACUCCCCGAGACACACCUGCGCGGCCAGCCCGCCUGCGUCGUGCUCCUCGGCUCCAUGCUUCCCGAGACACACCUGCGCGGCCAGCCCGCCUGCGUCGUGCUCCUCGGCUUUAUGCUUCCCGAGACACACCUGCGCAGCCAGCUCGCCUGCGUCGUGCUCCUCGGCACCAUGCCCCCCGAGACACACCUGCGCGACCAGCCCGCCUGUGUCGUGCUCCUCGGCUCUAUGCUCCCCGAGACACACCUGCGCGGCCAGCCCGCCUGCGUCGUGCACCUCGGCACCAUGUUCCCUGACACCGCGCCUACACGGCCUGCCCGAAAGCUGAAGCCAUGCCUCGGACUCCUGUUACAACGACCGACGCAUAGCUUCUUUCCGGGGGAGAAUAUGAUGAGGAUAGUAAUUAUGAUAAGACUCGGCUGACGUCACCCGACGCCUCACGCCUCGAUCGACGCGACAGCACCUGGUCAAACGGACCGGAACACCGGCCGAG
This 4034-nucleotide long non-coding RNA is filed under the name Musa acuminata (dwarf banana). RNAcentral's name for it is "long non-coding RNA (MACU_LNC002487)". The record is from RNAcentral. Lineage: Eukaryota; Viridiplantae; Streptophyta; Magnoliopsida; Zingiberales; Musaceae.